Molecule: unclassified non-coding RNA, 198 nt
Filed under: Candidatus Phytoplasma mali
Lineage: Bacteria; Bacillati; Mycoplasmatota; Mollicutes; Acholeplasmatales; Acholeplasmataceae
Description: partial 16S-23S ribosomal RNA intergenic spacer
Rfam family: tRNA (bases 77-150)
Source: RNAcentral
AGGAAAAUAUCAUCUUCAGUUGUGAAAGACUUAAAAAAGUUUUUUAUUUUUUAAGAUAAAAAUAAAUAAUGGUUCGGGGCCUAUAGCUCAGUUGGUUAGAGCACACGCCUGAUAAGCGUGAGGUCGAUGGUUCGAGUCCAUUUAGGCCCACCAAAGUAUUUAUCUUAAGAAAACAAGCUCUUUGAAAAGUAGAUAAAU